UUAACCUUCUAGAAUUGAUAUUAAUAAAAUUGAAACAAUACAAAGAAGAUAGAAUAGCCUGUGCACAAGGAUGAUAUACACCUAUCGACUAUCGAGAAAUUGUC
Solanum tuberosum (potato) is the source of this 104-nucleotide non-coding RNA. The record is from Rfam. NCBI's taxonomy places the organism in Eukaryota, Viridiplantae, Streptophyta, Magnoliopsida, Solanales, Solanaceae.